RNAcentral lists this ribosomal RNA (429 nucleotides) under Verrucomicrobiota bacterium. Its description in RNAcentral is "Verrucomicrobia bacterium partial 16S ribosomal RNA". It matches the Rfam family "Bacterial small subunit ribosomal RNA", at positions 355 to 776 of the family's 1533-position model. The record is from RNAcentral. Lineage: Bacteria; Pseudomonadati; Verrucomicrobiota.
UAGGGAAUCUUCCGCAAUGGACGAAAGUCUGACGGAGCAACGCCGCGUGAGUGAUGAAGGCUUUCGGGUCGUAAAACUCUGUUGUUAGGGAAGAACAAGUACAAGAGUAACUGCUUGUACCUUGACGGUACCUAACCAGAAAGCCACGGCUAACUACGUGCCAGCAGCCGCGGUAAUACGUAGGUGGCAAGCGUUAUCCGGAAUUAUUGGGCGUAAAGCGCGCGCAGGUGGUUUAGAAAGUCUGAUGUGAAAGCCCACGGCUCAACCGUGUAGGGUCAUUGGAAACUAAUAAACUUGAGUGCAGGAGAGAAAAGUGGAAUUCCUAGUGUAGCGGUGAAAUGCGUAGAGAUUAGGAGGAACACCGGUGGCGAAAGCGGCUUUUUGGCCUGCAACUGACACUGAGGCGCGAAAGCGUGGGGAGCAAACAGG